Molecule: long non-coding RNA, 270 nt
Organism: Gossypium arboreum
Lineage: Eukaryota; Viridiplantae; Streptophyta; Magnoliopsida; Malvales; Malvaceae
Exons: 2
Source: RefSeq, a predicted model, not a curated record
CUCCAUUUGCUGCCGGAUACAGUUAGGGGAGACAUUGUUUAUCAUUUGAUUGGAAAAAUUGAUGAGGUUUAUGUGUUUUGAGUUUUUCCUUAAUGAACUCACCUUGAGGGCAGGUAAAUACAAGGCCGUCAUAAAAAAACCCCUCGUGAAAGGCGGGGUGUUCAUCCAUUUCAAUAUUGGUUUCCUACAAUCUGGUGGUUUUUUCACUAGAGCAAUAAAACAUUUGGCAGUGAUGGAUUACUUGGCAUCAUGUCAACAUUGAGGAGGAAA